Molecule: ribosomal RNA, 119 nt
Filed under: Pteropus alecto (black flying fox)
Lineage: Eukaryota; Metazoa; Chordata; Mammalia; Chiroptera; Pteropodidae
Source: RNAcentral
GCCUACGGCCAUGCCACCUUGAGCAAGCCCGAUCCCGUCUGAUCUGGGAAACUAAGCAGGGUUGGGCCUGGUUAGUACUUGGAUGGGAGACCACCUAGGAAGACCAGGUGCUGUAGGUG